GCAGACACAUUCCAGCCAAUCAGCAGCAGACCCUCCCUCCAAGACCCUCCCACCUCCUGGACAGCAUCCAUUUUACAUUCAUUGUGAAGCUGCAUUCUUAGUGAGCUGUCCAGGAGGUGGGAGGGUCUGGGAGGGAGGGUCUGCUGCUCAUUGGCUGGAAUGUGUCUG
This 168-nucleotide microRNA precursor is filed under the name Pelobates cultripes (western spadefoot toad). Lineage: Eukaryota; Metazoa; Chordata; Amphibia; Anura; Pelobatidae. The record is from RNAcentral.